AUUGGUAUGGGUAUCUGGGGGGGGUGUCUGGGGGUCCCUACAGGGGUUCUGGGUCUCCCUGUCUCUGACCCUGGUUCCCCCCAUGGCAGGCGGGGAGGGCAGCGGGAUUGGUAUAGGUAUCUGAGAGGGGUCUGGGGGUCCCUACAGGGGUUCUGGGUCCCCCCGUCUCUGACCCUGGUUCCCCCCAUGGCAGGCAGGAGGGGGCAGCGGGAUUGGUAUAGGUAUCUGAGAGGGGUCUGGGGGUCCCUACAGGGGUUCUGGGUCCCCCCGUCUCUGACCCUGGUUCCCCCCAUGGCAGGCAGGAGGGGGCAGCGGGAUUGGUAUAGGUAUCUGAGAGGGGUCUGGGGGUCCCUACAGGGGUUCUGGGUCCCCCCGUCUCUGACCCUGGUUCCCCCCAUGGCAGGCAGGAGGGGGCAGCGGGAUUGGUAUAGGUAUCUGAGGGGUGGGUCUGGGGGUCCCUACAGGGGUUCUGGGUCCCCCCGUCUCUGACCCUGGUUCCCCCCAUGGCAGGCAGGAGGGGUAGCGGGAUUGGUAUGGGUAUCUG
Long non-coding RNA from Gopherus flavomarginatus (Mexican gopher tortoise), 544 nucleotides. RefSeq lists it as uncharacterized. The record is from RefSeq and is a predicted model, not a curated record. The transcript has 5 exons. Lineage: Eukaryota; Metazoa; Chordata; Testudines; Testudinidae.